This 450-nucleotide ribosomal RNA is filed under the name uncultured bacterium. Its description in RNAcentral is "partial 16S ribosomal RNA". It matches the Rfam family "Bacterial small subunit ribosomal RNA", at positions 354 to 796 of the family's 1533-position model. The record is from RNAcentral.
GUGGGGAAUAUUGGACAAUGGGCGAAAGCCUGAUCCAGCCAUGCCGUGUGUGUGAAGAAGGUCUUCGGAUUGUAAAGCACUUUAAGUUGGGAGGAAGGGCAGUAAGUUAAUACCUUGCUGUUUUGACGUUACCGACAGAAUAAGCACCGGCUAACUUCGUGCCAGCAGCCGCGGUAAUACGAAGGGUGCAAGCGUUAAUCGGAUUUACUGGGCGUAAAGCGCGCGUAGGUGGUUUUGUACGUUGGAGGUGAAAUCCCCGGGCUCAACCUGGAAAAUGGCUACAAAGCUGCAUGACUAGAGUGCGGUAGAGUGUAGUGUAAAUUCGUGUGUAACGGUGAAAUGCGUAGAUAUAGUGAGGAACACCAGUGGCGAAGGCGACUACCUGAACUGAUACUGACACUGAGGUGCGAAAGCGUGGGGAGCAAACAGGAUUAGAUACCCUAGUAGUCC